Molecule: ribosomal RNA, 594 nt
Filed under: Triticum aestivum (bread wheat)
Lineage: Eukaryota; Viridiplantae; Streptophyta; Magnoliopsida; Poales; Poaceae
Description: partial small subunit ribosomal RNA
Source: RNAcentral
AUGCUGCAUCUCGAAUCGCGCGACACCUUCCUAUGGAAUCCGUCGACCCUGGCCAGAAUUCGCCUUCACACUGACCAAGAUAAUCUCCUUGACGGCAUAGGAGAUGGAAGGUGUCUGCUCUCACGGAGGCCGUCUGACGCAGAUGCAGACUGCGUCGUGCUCCUACUAGACCGUGAGAACAGCGUCUUCUACUACUGCCGUCCAGUACCAGGAGGCAGCCGAUGGCUCAAGCACGCGCAUGGUCAUGAUAGCUUGAUGGACAAUUGCCAUGCAACGGCUGGUGAAAAGUUCUGCUCAUACAACACCAACAUAAUUGUCACGCUGGAGUUUUCUCCCAACCCAACGUUCACGACCCACGCCCUGUUGGAAUAUGGAAUGGCAAAGUCCACGGGGUAUACCAUGUGGCUUGAUCUCGUCGUUGAGAGCAACAGGGAGCUCUUCAGCCUGACAUUCUGCCACCCGGUGCUGUCUGAACGAAGAGUGACGCAGAUCGUCGUGCGCAAGCUGGAUCUCUCGACGGGGGCUUGGCUGAGAGUGGACACGCUAGGCGACGCCGUGUUCCUCGUCGAUUGCACCCGCCGGGGCGUCGUUUGA